CUGAUGGCGACCGGCGCACGGGUGAGUAACACGUAUCCAACCUGCCGAUGACUCGGGGAUAGCCUUUCGAAAGAAAGAUUAAUACCCGAUGGCAUAGUUCUUCCGCAUGGUAGAACUAUUAAAGAAUUUCGGUCAUCGAUGGGGAUGCGUUCCAUUAGGUUGUUGGCGGGGUAACGGCCCACCAAGCCUUCGAUGGAUAGGGGUUCUGAGAGGAAGGUCCCCCACAUUGGAACUGAGACACGGUCCAA
RNAcentral lists this ribosomal RNA (248 nucleotides) under uncultured bacterium. Its description in RNAcentral is "partial 16S ribosomal RNA". It matches the Rfam family "Bacterial small subunit ribosomal RNA", at positions 85 to 334 of the family's 1533-position model. The record is from RNAcentral.